GACGAACGCUGGCGGCGUGCUUAACACAUGCAAGUCGAACGGAAAGGCCCUGCUUUUGUGGGGUGCUCGAGUGGCGAACGGGUGAGUAACACGUGAGUAACCUGCCCUUGACUUUGGGAUAACUUCAGGAAACUGGGGCUCAUACCGGAUAGGAGCUCCUGCUGCCUGGUGGGGGUUGGCCCGUUUCGGCGGUUGGGGAGGGACUCGCGGCUUAUCCGCUUGUUGGUGGGGUAGUGGCUUACCAAGGCGUUGACGGGUAGCCGGCCUGAGAGGGGGACCGGCCACAGUGGGACUGAGAUACGGCCCAGACGACGACGGGAGGCAGCAGUGGGGAAGAGUGCACAAGGGGCGGAAGCCUGAUGCAGCAAAGCCGCGUGCGGGAUGACGGCCUUCGGGUUGGAAACCGCUGUCGCCUGUGACGAAGCGUGAGUGACGGUAAUGGGUAAAGAAGCACCGGCUAACUACGUG
This 468-nucleotide ribosomal RNA is filed under the name uncultured bacterium. Its description in RNAcentral is "partial 16S ribosomal RNA". It matches the Rfam family "Bacterial small subunit ribosomal RNA", at positions 28 to 507 of the family's 1533-position model. The record is from RNAcentral.